RNAcentral lists this ribosomal RNA (216 nucleotides) under Triticum aestivum (bread wheat). RNAcentral describes it as "partial small subunit ribosomal RNA". Lineage: Eukaryota; Viridiplantae; Streptophyta; Magnoliopsida; Poales; Poaceae. The record is from RNAcentral.
AUGGAGGUUUGGCUUAGCGAGUUGUUCGCCGUCCCGGCGACGGCAAAGAGGGCGCGCUCCUUGGUACUGCUGCUGAUCUGGGAAAUUUGGCGGGAGCGCAAUGAUCGCAUCUUCCGGAACGUGGAGUGCUCACCUGCAUCGGUCCUUUUCAGAGUUGACGAAGAGAGGAUCUCCUGGGCGCUGGCGGGAGGCCGGCACUUGAUGAUGCGAGAGUAG